UACGAAGGGGGCUAGCGUUGUUCGGAAUUACUGGGCGUAAAGCGCGCGUAGGCGGUGAUCUUUGUCAGAGGUGAAAGCCCGGGGCUCAACUCCGGAAUUGCCUUGAAACGGGAUCGCUAGAGUCCGAGAGAGGAUGGCGGAAUUCCUAGUGUAGAGGUGAAAUUCGUAGAUAUUAGGAAGAACACCAGUGGCGAAGGCAGGUCUCUGGGCAUUAACGUGACGCUGAGGAGCGAAAGCAUGGGGAGCGAACAGG
Molecule: ribosomal RNA, 253 nt
Filed under: uncultured bacterium
Lineage: Bacteria
Description: partial 16S ribosomal RNA
Rfam family: Bacterial small subunit ribosomal RNA
Source: RNAcentral